CUUCCUGCUUGUGAGAAGUGCGACAGCAUUUCCUAUGCGUUGAUGAAGUAGGUUACAAACCACAAAAAUUAUUGCCAUAUCCUUCAUGAAACAGCAAGAUUUAACAAACAAGGAAUCAGUGAUAUUUUGAGUUUAAACGUGUGGGUAUGCGGUAGCCUAGAAUUUUGGUUUGUUUUAUUUUUGAACAUAAAAGUCUUUAGUACACGAAAUUAUUUUCGGCAUUAUAUAUACUAUUAACAGGUCUGCUACCCUCAAGAAACACCAGACAGGGCCGUCCCCACCAUUGAGGUUCUCGAGGUACGGACCUCGGUAUUUUUCCAACAACAAGAGUUGUAAAACACCCUAUAUUAAUUCUUCUUUGGUGCUGCAAGGAUAAAAAGCCAAGAUAAAUAGAUCUUUCUCAUCUGAGAUGCCUCAGCGAUCUUACAACGCUCAUCAAUGUCAAAGUGUUUGUGAUGAUGGCCAAUCAAAUCAAAGUAGGCGGGGUUUAUGUUCACAGGCGCUGAGUGUAAAAAUUCCAGCCUCUGACGCCUCUGAAAUUCUGACACCUCAGACAGAUAUGAAGCGCAAGAUAUGACAAUGAAAAGUAUCAGUCAGUCAAAGCUCAGCUUUGGGAAGGGAAUAAAUACAGGGAAAGAGAAGCAGACUGCGACAAAGAGAGAGAUGGUGAUGGAAAAGAGAGAAGUACAGCAAUCCACUGUAGACUGUCCAUCUGGGGCCAUUCUUAGCAACAGCAAGCUGCCUCCAAGUGAGGAGAACUCCAACCAGAAGCAGGGCAUCAGGAUGGAUCAGAGCAGAAGGAUUGAGAGAAAUUAAAAGCUUGACAACGAUGUCUCAUGCUGUUCACGAGUCGACUCACGAGUCACGAGGCAUGGCACUCCACUCUUCUUGAAGGGCGGCCCUCAGGUCAUUUAGGUUCUGGGGUGCAGGUUUACGAGCCUCUACACGGCGACUCCAGCAGCCGUUCCCUAAUGAUGCGACCUCGAUGAGCUGGAGCAUUGUCGUCCAUGAAGAUGAAAUUAGGCCUGUGUUGUUCAUGCAGGGGCACAAUGACUGGAUUAAUGAUGUUAUUCAGGUAGUAUUGGCUUGUCACUGUACCAUUCACAAGAUGUAGGGCAGUUCUGUAUUGAGUACUGAGACUGAGACUGUAACACCACCACAACAGUGACUGAUGCAUAGAGCUGUCCUUGACGUCUCCAACAUCAUUGGCGGCCAUCAUUUCUGCUCAGUGUGAAUCGACUUUCAUCAGAGAACAGCACUGAGGCCCACUGGUCCCUCGUCCAGUGUAAAUGCUCCCGACGCCUGUGCCUGGUGGUGUGGUUAGGUACCCUUGCAGGUCAUUUAGCACGCAGACCAUGCUGAUGUAAAUGGUUUCGAAUGGUCUGACGUGACACUUGGAUGCCUAUCACCUCCCUUAAAUGUGCCUGGAGUUGAGUGGUAUUCAUCAUCCGGUUCUGCAGGGCACCAUUCACAAUGAAGCGGUCAUCAACGUGGGAUGUGGCCAAAGGACGUCUACUUCUAUGCCUUUAAGUGACUCAGUCUCUCUGUAUCUCUGUCGCAACCUGCUGAUGACAUUCUGUGACACUCUAAGCUCAGUGGCCACUUCCCUCUGAGGACAUCCUGUUUGAAGUGCAAUGGCAAGGUACUGUUGAUCAAUUGUUAGGUGUCGUCUUGGUCUCAUGAUGUCAAAAUGUGAACAGCAUGAUGGAGGACUGUUUAAAUACCAAUUCUAAUUGAACCAGAAAAUUUUUGUCUUGCCCGUCUCUGCUAUAGUAAUUUUAGCUUGCAUAAUAAAAUAAUUAUUGCCAAUAAUAAUCAACUAGCUAAUGCUAAAUUACCAUACAGUCAUGGAAAAAAUAAAUUACAACCUCCUUCAUUCAUAUGUGUGCUAAUAAUUGUUAAGUGACAGUUAUUAGCAGCCCAACAUCAGCUAUACAGGUCAGCUAGCUAAGCCAUUUAGAUUUAUGUAUUUGUAUUUGUAUUUAUAGUAUUUGUAUAU
Hemibagrus wyckioides is the source of this 1999-nucleotide long non-coding RNA. RefSeq lists it as uncharacterized. NCBI's taxonomy places the organism in Eukaryota, Metazoa, Chordata, Actinopteri, Siluriformes, Bagridae. The record is from RefSeq and is a predicted model, not a curated record. The transcript is spliced from 4 exons.